RNAcentral lists this ribosomal RNA (407 nucleotides) under uncultured bacterium. RNAcentral describes it as "partial 16S ribosomal RNA". It matches the Rfam family "Bacterial small subunit ribosomal RNA", at positions 360 to 776 of the family's 1533-position model. The record is from RNAcentral.
AAUAUUGCGCAAUGGGCGGAAGCCUGACGCAGCGACGCCGCGUGAGCGAAGAAGGCCUUCGGGUCGUAAAGCUCUGUCCUUGGGGAAGAAGGCGAAGGCUUGACGGUACCCAAGAAGAAAGCCCCGGCUAACUACGUGCCAGCAGCCGCGGUAAUACGUAGGGGGCGAGCGUUGUCCGGAAUUACUGGGCGUAAAGGGUGCGUAGGCGGCCUUUUAAGUCAGAUGUGAAAGGCUGCGGCUUAACCGCAGGACUGCAUUUGAAACUGGAAGGCUUGAGUGUCGGAGAGGGUAGUGGAAUUCCCAGUGUAGCGGUGAAAUGCGUAGAUAUUAGGAGGAACACCAGUGGCGAAGGCGGCUUUCUGGACUGUAACUGACACUGAGGCAUGAAAGCGUGGGUAGCAAACAGG